UUACCUCGGAUCAGGUGGAAUACCC
This 25-nucleotide ribosomal RNA is filed under the name Sarocladium glaucum. RNAcentral describes it as "partial 28S ribosomal RNA". Lineage: Eukaryota; Fungi; Ascomycota; Sordariomycetes; Hypocreales; Sarocladiaceae. The record is from RNAcentral.